RNAcentral lists this ribosomal RNA (253 nucleotides) under uncultured bacterium. RNAcentral describes it as "partial 16S ribosomal RNA". It matches the Rfam family "Bacterial small subunit ribosomal RNA", at positions 524 to 776 of the family's 1533-position model. The record is from RNAcentral.
UACGAAGGGGGCUAGCGUUGCUCGGAAUUACUGGGCGUAAAGCGCACGUAGGCGGCUUCUUAAGUCAGGGGUGAAAUCCUGGAGCUCAACUCCAGAACUGCCUUUGAUACUGAGGAUCUUGAGUUCGGGAGAGGUGAGUGGAACUGCGAGUGUAGAGGUGAAAUUCGUAGAUAUUCGCAAGAACACCAGUGGCGAAGGCGGCUCACUGGCCCGAUACUGACGCUGAGGCACGAAAGCGUGGGGAGCAAACAGG